This 2632-nucleotide long non-coding RNA is filed under the name Homo sapiens (human). RNAcentral's name for it is "HSALNT0003090". The record is from RNAcentral. Lineage: Eukaryota; Metazoa; Chordata; Mammalia; Primates; Hominidae.
CUCCAGCUCCUAACCGCGAGUGAUCCGCCAGCCUCAGCCUCCUGAGGUGCCAGGAUUGCAGACGGAGUCUGGUUCACUCAGUGCUCAAUGGUGCCCAGGCUGGAGUGCAGUGGCGUGAUCUCGGCUCACUACAACCUCCACCUCCCAGCCGCCUGCCUUGGCCUCCCAAAGUGCCGAGAUUGCAGCCUCUGCCCGGCCGCCACCCCGUCUGGGAAGUGAGGAGCAUCUCUGCCUGGCUGCCCAUCGUCUGGGAUGUGAGGAGCCCCUCUGCCUGGCUGCCCAGUCUGGAAAGUGAGGAGCCUCUCUGCCCGGCCACCAUCCCACCUAGGAAGUGAGGAGCGCCUCUUCCCGGCCGCCAUCACAUCUAGGAAGUGAGGAGCGUCUCUGCCUGGCCGCCCAUCGUCUGAGAUGUGGGAAGCGCCUCAGCCCCGCCGCCCCGUCUGGGAUGUGAGAAGCGCCUCUGCCCUGCCGCGACCCCAUCUGGGAGGUGAGGAGCGUCUCUGCCCGGCCGCCCCGUCUGAGAAGUGAGGAGACCCUCCGCCUGGCAACCGCCCCGUCUGAGAAGUGAGGAGCCCCUCCGCCCCGCAGCCGCCCCGUCUGAGAAGUGAGGAGCGUCUCCGCCCGGCAGCCACCCCGUCCAGGAGGGAGGUGGGGGUCAGCCCCGCCAGGCCAGCCGCCCCGUCUGGGAGGCCAGCCCUGUCCAAUGCAAAGGCGAGCCCUGGUUCCAUGGGUGAGGAAGGGAUCUCUGGGUGCUUCCAGGCUGAACCUCUAGUCUGGUAAACAUCUGAAAGCAAACACUCCUCUCCCAUGAGAAUUGGUCUCCUGGAGAGCAUGCCUUUCUGAGUGACAACAAAAGUGAUCCAGAAUCUGAAUGGAAAGGAAUCUGGAGAUCAUCUAGUCCCAACUCCUAUAUAACACAGUUCGUCUUCAGUAUUACCCAAAAUGUGUAUAGUCUGUGCUUGAACACCGUGUGUCACAGAGAAUUCACUGACUCACAUCACUCCUCGCCAUUGUGCAUCAGCUUCAGAUAUUAAAACGCCUUCCCUUGAACCAAACUGAUCUUCUGGCAACUUCCACCAGCUGGGGUAAGUUUGGACUUUUGGGGCCAUGGUUAAGUCAAUUCCCUUUUCCCCAUGGCAAUACUUCAUCAAUAAACUAUGGGUUUUUUGCUUUUUUGUUCUUGUUGUUUUUGAGACAGGGUCUCACUCUGCCGCCCAGGCUGGAGUGCAGUGGCACAAUCUCGGCUUACUGCAGCCUCUGCCUCCCAGGCUCAGGUGAUCCUCCCACCUCAGCCUCAGUCCCAGUAGCUGGGACUACAGGCGUGCACCACCAUGCCUGUUAGUUUUUGAAUUUUUGGUGGAGAUGAGGUUUCACCAUGUUGCCCAUGGCUGGUCUUGAACUCCUGGACUCAAGCAAUCUGCUUGCCUCGGCCUUCCAAAGUGCUGGGAUUACAGGUGUUAGCCACUGCGCCUGGCCUAAUAAAAUAAACUAUGUUCUAUUAGUGCCUGCUUCCUGGGGAUACUGUGAGGACUAAAUGAGGACCUGCCCAUAGUGAGGACUCAGGAAAUGUUCGCAAUGAUUACAUAAUUUGAAUAGCAUUCAUGGGCUCCAUCAACCCUGGCUAGUUGCUACCCCCUGGUAAUAAUAACAGCGAAUAUUUAUUGAAGGCUUACUGAGAGGCCUUGUACCAACUCUCCUCUAUGUAGUCCUCAAAACAACUCUGUAAUUUGGAUUAUGCCCACAGAGAAGAUACAUCACUUGUCCAAGAUGACAUUAUGGCAAAACUAAGGCAGGAACUGGGCUGUUUGAUUCCAAGCCCAUGUACUUUGCCUCAUCUUUUUUUUUUUUUUUUUUGUAAGCGAUAGGGGUCUCACUCUGUGGUCCAGCCUGGGGUCUAGUGUUGCAAUCACAGUUCAUUGUAUCCUCGAACUCCUGGGUUCAAGGGAUCCUCCUUCCUUAGCCUCGCAAGUAGCUGGGAAUGCAGACGUGCAUCACCAUGCCAGGCUAAUUCUUUUUUUUUUUUUUUUGGUAGCGAUGGGGUCUCCUUAUGUUGCCCAGACUCGUCUUGAACUCCUGGCCUCAAGCAAUCCACCUGCCUUGGCCUCCCAAAGUGCUGGGAUUACAGGUGUGAGCCACUGUGCCUGACCUGCCUCAUCUUUAAAAAAAGUUUUAAAAUUAAUUUUAAAUUUAAAAAAAUUGCCUCAUAUUUUGUGCACUCAAGUCUCAGACUAUUGCCACUCACCUCUGGGCAGGUUCCAAUGGGAAGCGCUCUUCUGUGCGACUCCUCGUGCAGGUCCUUGGGUCCUGGUGUUGGCCACCAUAACAGGCCAUAGCAGAAUGAUUUCUGUGGUAUCCCUGGGAGCUUUGGCAAUUUCAGAGCCAAAGGAGAUGCCAGACUGCCUGGCUCCAAAGGGGCCGAGACUGGGUCUCAACUGUCUUUCCUCAUUGGAUAGCCUACAUUAAAGGAUCAUUUUCAAAAAAGAGUAAAAUCACGAUUCUCAUUGGGAUAUUAAAAAAACACAUGUUAAAGAUUUUAUUUAUUCUUUUUUUAAAUUAUUUAUUUAUUUUUUUGAGAUGGAGUUUUGCUCUUGUUGCCCAGGCUGGAGUACAGUGGCCCAGUCUCAGCUCACUG